This is a small nucleolar RNA of Scomber scombrus (Atlantic mackerel), 66 nucleotides long. RefSeq annotates it as small nucleolar RNA SNORD66. The record is from RefSeq and is a predicted model, not a curated record. The transcript has a single exon. Lineage: Eukaryota; Metazoa; Chordata; Actinopteri; Scombriformes; Scombridae.
CUCCAGUGAUGACCUUAAAUUAGUGCCACGUGUCUGGGCUACUGAUGGGAUUGAGGAAUUGAGGAG